Molecule: long non-coding RNA, 1739 nt
Organism: Daucus carota subsp. sativus
Lineage: Eukaryota; Viridiplantae; Streptophyta; Magnoliopsida; Apiales; Apiaceae
Exons: 2
Source: RefSeq, a predicted model, not a curated record
AAACUCUGUGAAAAUGGCUGCAAUAUUCAUGUUACUAAGGAAAAAAAAUCAUGAAUAAGUGGUUGUUAUGAGUCCAUUCAUGCAAAAUACAAGUGAGUUGAAGUGGUUGUUAUGAGUCCAUUCAUGAAAAAUACAAGCGAAGUGAUUGUUAUGAGUCCAUUCACGAAAAAUACGAUUGUUGUGAUGUGAAGUGGUUGUUAUGAGUCCAUUCAUGCAAAACACAAGUGAAGUGUCAUGCUUCCUAAACCUUAUAAGAGCUAAUACUGCUCCUCUGCUAUAACAUGACACACCCAAACUGAAAAAUUCAGCUCCUAUGAUACACACCAAAAUAUGACAAGUUGAUUGUACCGGCCUACGUUUGUGGCAGAUGUUUUGGCAGCGAUAUAACAAGCCAAUCUUUAAUAUCCGGAACAUUCUCAAUCAUCCGACGAUCACUCUCAGGACGCUGUUGAAUCCUAGCAAACUAGGCAAUGCAGGCGGUAAUUUUUUUUCAUUUAUUUUAUUAAUGUUUGAAAUUAUAAAUUUUAUGAAAAUUUAAGUUUUUACAAAAGUUUAACAUAAUUUGAUACGUAUUGCUCUUGCAGUUGUAUCUGUGAUGGCUAUAACAUCGUCAUCACUUGCGCAGUGAACUGUAAUUGUGAAGAGGUUGGAAGUGUAAUCAUGAUAAUGAUAUGGGAAACACAUGUUUCUCCCAAUAAUAUCACACACUCUUUUCUUUGGAGGUUUAGAGAUCAUGUACUUAACAAGGUGUUUGAUAUAAAGACUUAAGAAUGCUUAGAAUCUACAAUUAAAGUUGGGAUGACUUAUGAGCUUUUGUAAUUUCUUUUAGCUGAAAGAAAUUACAAAAGUUCAUAAGUCAUUCCAACUUUAAGCAUUCUUUGCUGAAAGAACUUUAAGCAUUCCUUGUUAAGGUAUAUCAAAAAUUUUGUUAGAUACAUAACAAAGAUAUAUCAAAAAUUAUGUCAGAUUCAUAAUCUUUAAUCCAUGAUAAGAGUGUGGGAUAUUAUUAGGGGAAUAUGUGUUUUCCAUAUCAUUAUCAUGAUGACAAUAAGAAAUGAUGAUGUUAUAGUCAUCACAGAUACGACUGCAAGACUAUUACGGAUCAAAAUAUGUUAAACUUGUAUAAAAAUUUAAGUUGUCAUAAAAUGUAUGAAUUCAAACAUUAAUACAAUAAAUGAAAAAAAAUUCCGAUAUGCAUUGUCUAGUUUACAGGAUUUGUGAAUCCAGGAGUUACUACAACACAAGAAAGCAUUAACAAAAUAUGAAGACAAGUUUACAUACCAGAAACAACCCUUUUGUUUUUGUAAGGUUAUUUCUGGUAUGCACACUUGUCCUUCAUAUUUUGCUAAAAAUUCUUGUAAACCUGAACCGUGCAAUGUCAGUUCCUCAGGAAAGUCAUCAAAGAAUGCCGGAGGAAAUGCGGCUGCAAUAUUCUCUGUGGAAAUUGAGAGGUACCAGAAAUCUGCAGACUGCAGGCUGCAGCCAACAUAGCCCUUGUUGGGAUAGUUUGCAUGGACUUUUGGGAAGAUUUUGUGAAGCUAAAGCAAAUGUGAGAGGAUGAUUUGAACAAAAGUGGAGCUAAAGCACAUGCAAAAGGAUUUGAUAUUAGAUCAUGAUACUUUUGAGUUUACAUACUUAGAUUUCAACAAGUUAGGAAGUGUGCAAGUCUUAAUUUGGUGCUCUGUCUUGGUUGAUGGUUUGUUUAUUCUGAGUUUUUAUGUGAACAAAGAGUUUUCCUU